AUCUUCUUUGAAGGUAUGCUUAAGGAGGGGCUUGCGACACAUUAGUUAGUUGGCAGGGUAAAGGCCUACCAAGACUAUGAUGUGUAGCUGGACUGAGAGGUUGAACAGCCACAUUGGGACUGAGACACGGCCCAAACUCCUACGGGAGGCAGCAGUAGGGAAUUUUCGGCAAUGGAGGAAACUCUGACCGAGCAACGCCGCGUGAACGAUGAAGUACCUCGGUAUGUAAAGUUCUUUUAUUAAGGAAGAAAAAAGAGUGGAAAAACUCCCUUGACGGUACUUAAUGAAUAAGCCCCGGCUAAUUAUGUGCCAGCAGCCGCGGUAAUACAUAAGGGGCGAGCGUUAUCCGGAAUUAUUGGGCGUAAAGGGUGCGUAGGCGGUUUAAUAAGUCUAUAGUUUAAUUUCAGUGCUUAACGCUGUUGUGCUAUAGAAACUGUUUUACUAGAGUGAGAUAGAGGCAAGCGGAAUUCCAUGUGUAGCGGUAAAAUGCGUAAAUAUAUGGAGGAACACCAGAGGCGUAGGCGGCUUGCUGGGUCUUUACUGACGCUGAGGCACGAAAGCGUGGGGAGCAAACAGGAUUAGAUACCCUGGUAGUCCACGCCGUAAACGAUGAGUACUAAGUGUCGGGUAAAACUGGUACUGAAGUUAACACAUUAAGUACUCCGCCUGAGUAGUACGUACGCAAGUAUGAAACUUAAAGGAAUUGACGGGACUCCGCACAAGCGGUGGAUCAUGUUGUUUAAUUCGAAGAUACACGAAAAACCUUACCAGGUCUUGACAUUUUCUUGCGAAGUUAUAGAAAUAUAAUGGAGGUUAUCNNAAAACAGGUGGUGCAUGGUUGUCGUCAGCUCGUGUCGUGAGAUGUUAGNNUAAGUCCUAAAACGAGCGCAACCCUUGUCGUUAAUUGCCAGCAUGUAAUGAUGGGGACUUUAACGAGACUGCCAAUGA
This 948-nucleotide ribosomal RNA is filed under the name Candidatus Phytoplasma pruni. RNAcentral's name for it is "bacterial SSU rRNA". It matches the Rfam family "Bacterial small subunit ribosomal RNA", at positions 193 to 1158 of the family's 1533-position model. The record is from RNAcentral. Lineage: Bacteria; Bacillati; Mycoplasmatota; Mollicutes; Acholeplasmatales; Acholeplasmataceae.